GUCUGGUCUGAUGGUAGUGCCCCCACUAAAGUUAUUGAUGUUAGUUACAGUAAGCUUUCUAUGCUCCACCCCACUGCUAACCUUGACUGGUCUUUU
Molecule: Y RNA, 96 nt
Filed under: Serinus canaria (Common canary)
Lineage: Eukaryota; Metazoa; Chordata; Aves; Passeriformes; Fringillidae
Description: Y RNA (ENSSCAG00000001689.1)
Rfam family: Y RNA
About the family: Y RNAs are components of the Ro ribonucleoprotein particle (Ro RNP), in association with Ro60 and La proteins. The Y RNAs and Ro60 and La proteins are well conserved, but the function of the Ro RNP is not known.
Source: Rfam by way of RNAcentral